GAUGAACGCUGGCGGCGUGCCUAAUACAUGCAAGUCGAGCGAACAGACGAGGAGCUUGCUCCUCUGACGUUAGCGGCGGACAGGUGAGUAACACGUGGAUAACCUACCUAUAAGACUGGGAUAACUUCGGGAAACCGGAGCUCAUACCGGAUAAAAUAUUGAACCGCCUGGUUCAAUAGUGAAAGACGGUUUUGCUGUCACUUAUAGAUGGAUCCGCGCCGCAUUAGCUAGUUGGUAAGGUAACGGCUUACCAAGGCAACGAUGCGUAGCCGACCUGAGAGGGUGAUCGGCCACACUGGAACUGAGACACGGUCCAGACUCCUACGGGAGGCAGCAGUAGGGAAUCUUCCGCAAUGGGCGAAAGCUUGACGGAGCAACGCCGCGUGAUUGAUGAUGGUCUUCGGAUCGUAAAACUCUUUUAUUAGGGAAGAACAAAUGUGUAAGUAACUAUGCACGGCUUGACGGUACCUAAUCAGAAAGCCACGGCUAACUACGUG
This 497-nucleotide ribosomal RNA is filed under the name uncultured bacterium. RNAcentral describes it as "partial 16S ribosomal RNA". It matches the Rfam family "Bacterial small subunit ribosomal RNA", at positions 28 to 507 of the family's 1533-position model. The record is from RNAcentral.